GGGCCCGUAGCUCAGCGGUAGAGCGGUCGGCUCAUAACCGAUAGGUUGCUGGUUCGACACCAGCCGGGCCCACCA
RNAcentral lists this transfer RNA (75 nucleotides) under SAR202 cluster bacterium MP-SAtl-SRR3965592-G2. RNAcentral's name for it is "tRNA-Met". It matches the Rfam family "tRNA". Rfam says of the family: Transfer RNA (tRNA) molecules are approximately 80 nucleotides in length. Their secondary structure includes four short double-helical elements and three loops (D, anti-codon, and T loops). RNAcentral also lists the same sequence under 2 other names. The record is from RNAcentral. Lineage: Bacteria; Bacillati; Chloroflexota; Dehalococcoidia.